Molecule: long non-coding RNA, 247 nt
Organism: Asparagus officinalis (garden asparagus)
Lineage: Eukaryota; Viridiplantae; Streptophyta; Magnoliopsida; Asparagales; Asparagaceae
Exons: 3
Source: RefSeq, a predicted model, not a curated record
UUAUUUUACUAUACAUCACAGGAGCGGUUGAAGAAGCUAAAAUCAGAACAUGGAAAAGUUCAACUUGGCAACAUCACUGUGGAUAUGGUUAUAGGUGGAAUGAGAGGAAUGACUGGAUUAUUGUGAGAAACAUCAUUACUUGAUCCUGAUGAUGGUAUUCGUUUUAGGGGGCUUUCUAUCCCUGAAUGUCAGAACGUAUUACCCGCUGCAAGUGGUGGGAAGGAGCCAUUGCCCGAGGGUCUUGUGU